This 459-nucleotide ribosomal RNA is filed under the name uncultured bacterium. Its description in RNAcentral is "partial 16S ribosomal RNA". It matches the Rfam family "Bacterial small subunit ribosomal RNA", at positions 338 to 795 of the family's 1533-position model. The record is from RNAcentral.
CCUACGGGUGGCAGCAGUGAGGAAUAUUGGUCAAUGGACGCGAGCCUGAACCAGCCAAGUCGCGUGAAGGAUGACUGCCCUAUGGGUUGUAAACCUCUUUUAUAUGGGAAUAAAAUUUUCUACGUGUGGGCAUUUGUAUGUACCUUAUGAAUAAGGAUCGGCUAACUCCGUGCCAGCAGCCGCGGUAAUACGGAGGAUGCGAGCGUUAUCCGGAUUUAUUGGGUUUAAAGGGUGCGUAGGCGGUGUUUUAAGUGAGUGGUAAAAUGUCGGGGCUUAACCUUAAUUUGCCAUUUAAACGGGAGUACUAGAGGACAGAGGAGGGAGGCGGAAUAAGUUAGGUAGCGGUGAAAUGCUUAGAUAUAACGUAGAACCCCGAUAGCGAAGGCAGGUUACCAGACUGUUACUGAUGCUGAAGCACGAGAGCGUGGGUAGCGAACAGGAUUAGAUACCCGGGUAGUC